This 253-nucleotide ribosomal RNA is filed under the name uncultured bacterium. Its description in RNAcentral is "partial 16S ribosomal RNA". It matches the Rfam family "Bacterial small subunit ribosomal RNA", at positions 524 to 776 of the family's 1533-position model. The record is from RNAcentral.
UACGGAGGGGGCGAGCGUUAUUCGGAAUUACUGGGCGUAAAGCGCGCGUAGGCGGCUUUGUAAGUUAGAGGUGAAAGCCCGGAGCUUAACUCCGGAACUGCCUUUAAGACUGCAUCGCUAGAAUUGUGGAGAGGUAAGUGGAAUUCCGAGUGUAGAGGUGAAAUUCGUAGAUAUUCGGAAGAACACCAGUGGCGAAGGCGACUUACUGGACACAUAUUGACGCUGAGGUGCGAAAGCGUGGGGAGCAAACAGG